This 279-nucleotide ribosomal RNA is filed under the name uncultured bacterium. RNAcentral describes it as "partial 16S ribosomal RNA". It matches the Rfam family "Bacterial small subunit ribosomal RNA", at positions 506 to 784 of the family's 1533-position model. The record is from RNAcentral.
UGCCAGCCGCCGCGGUAAUACGGAGGGGGUUAGCGUUGUUCGGAAUUACUGGGCGUAAAGCGCGCGUAGGCGGACUAUUAAGUCGAGGGUGAAAUCCCAGGGCUCAACCCUGGAACUGCCUUCGAAACUAUGAGGCUAGAGUCUGGCAGAGGGUGGUGGAAUUCCCCGUGUAGAGGUGAGAUUCGUAGAUAUGGGGAGGAACACCGGGGGCGAAGGCGGCCACCUGGACCGGUACUGACGCUGAGGCGCGAAAGCGUGGGGAGCAAACAGGAUUAGAUA